GAUGAACGCUGGCGGCGUGCUUAACACAUGCAAGUCGAACGGUGAAGGCGGAGCUUGCUCUGCUGGAUCAGUGGCGAACGGGUGAGUAACACGUGAGCAAUCUGCCCCUGACUCUGGGAUAAGCGCUGGAAACGGCGUCUAAUAUGGGAUAGGGGCUGGGAAGCAAUUUUAAGAGGUGGGAAAGAAUUUCGGUCAGGGAUGAGCUCGCGGCCUAUCAGCUUGUUGGUGAGGUAAUGGCUCACCAAGGCGUCGACGGGUAGCCGGCCUGAGAGGGUGACCGGCCACACUGGGACUGAGACACGGCCCAGACUCCUACGGGAGGCAGCAGUGGGGAAUAUUGCACAAUGGGCGAAAGCCUGAUGCAGCAACGCCGCGUGAGGGACGACGGCCUUCGGGUUGUAAACCUCUUUUAGCAGGGAAGAAGCGAAAGUGACGGUACCUGCAGAAAAAGCGCCGGCUAACUACGUG
This 468-nucleotide ribosomal RNA is filed under the name uncultured bacterium. Its description in RNAcentral is "partial 16S ribosomal RNA". It matches the Rfam family "Bacterial small subunit ribosomal RNA", at positions 28 to 507 of the family's 1533-position model. The record is from RNAcentral.